GACGAACGCUGGCGGCGUGCUUAACACAUGCAAGUCGAACGCUGAAGCUCAGCUUGCUGGGUGGAUGAGUGGCGAACGGGUGAGUAACACGUGAGUAACCUGCCCUCUUCUUUGGGAUAACGCCCGUAGACGGGUGCUAAUACUGGAUAUUCACUGAUUCUCGCAUGGGGGUUGGUGGAAAGGUUUUUUCUGGUGGGGGAUGGGCUCGCGGCCUAUCAGCUUGUUGGUGGGGUGAUGGCCUACCAAGGCUUUGACGGGUCGCCGGCCUGAGAGGGUGACCGGUCACAUUGGGACUGGGAUACGGCCCAGACUGCUACGGGAGGCAGCAGUGGGGAACAUUGCGCAAUGGGCGAACGCCUGAUGCAGCGACGACGCGUGAGGGUCGGCGGCCUUCGGGUUUUAAUCCUCUUUCGCUCAUGGUCAAGCCGCAGCUUUGGGUUGUGGUGAGGGUAGUGGGUAAAGAAGCGCCGGCUAACUACGUG
This 482-nucleotide ribosomal RNA is filed under the name uncultured bacterium. Its description in RNAcentral is "partial 16S ribosomal RNA". It matches the Rfam family "Bacterial small subunit ribosomal RNA", at positions 28 to 507 of the family's 1533-position model. The record is from RNAcentral.